UAUUCUUUAAUACAUUCAUUCAUUCAUGUAUUUAUUCUUUAAUACAUUCAUUCAUUCAUUUAUUUAUUUUUUUAUUUUAUUUCAUUUUCAGGACACAUUUCCAUAGAGCCUUAUUAAGUGUUAAGUUAACUCACUUUACUUUGGUGUUUGCACUAAUUAUGUAAGGAAUAAAAAGAAAAAAAAAAAAGAAAAAAAAAAAAGAAAAAAAAAAAAGAAAAAAAAAAAAGAAAAAAAAUGACAAUAAUAAUGAUACUAUUAAUGUUAAUUAUAAUAACAAAAAUGAUAACAACAAAUAGUAGCGAUACUAUUUAUUUUUUAUAUGUGGACAUUUUUAUUAUAAUGCACCAUGGUUAUCUUAAUGUAACUAUACACUUUUAUAUAAUUAUAUAUUGUUUAUUAAUAUCACUUUUUUUAUUUUAUUCAUUUAUUUAUUCAUUCAUUUAUUUAUUUUAUUUUUUUUUUUUUUUAAGGUUUACACUUUCUAUUUUUAAUGCGGUCUAUACAGUAAUAACAUCUGCUAAAAAGAAAAGAAGAGAAUCUGAAUUACAAUUAUUAGUUUUUGUUGUGUUCAAUCUUGUACAAUAUUAUUUCUACACUUCAACAUUAACAUUCAGAAAUGAACCUUUGUGUGCCUUAAUAAUAGCUUUAUACUCAUCCUUUUAUACAUGCCACAUGAAUCUUGCUACAAUUUUAAAGAUAAAAAUGAAUUACCUUCCAAUACCUAUAAUAGCUUAUUAUGUUUUUAAUACACUUUUAUUUAUAAUUCGAAAAACAAACCACAAAAUGUUUAAACAUUUUCUAUUGAGUGAAAAUUAUAUAUUAUAUUACAUGUUAGGAUUUGGUUUAAUUUAUUUAAUUGACUAUUCAUAUACCAUAAUAACAAACAUUUGUAGAGAAUUAAACAUUACCUUUUUGUUUAAUAAGAGUAAAAGAGGUUAA
RNAcentral lists this long non-coding RNA (939 nucleotides) under Piliocolobus tephrosceles (Ugandan red Colobus). RNAcentral's name for it is "lncRNA (ENSPTEG00000026707.1)". Lineage: Eukaryota; Metazoa; Chordata; Mammalia; Primates; Cercopithecidae. The record is from RNAcentral.